RNAcentral lists this ribosomal RNA (1502 nucleotides) under Lacticaseibacillus rhamnosus. RNAcentral's name for it is "bacterial SSU rRNA". It matches the Rfam family "Bacterial small subunit ribosomal RNA". The record is from RNAcentral. Lineage: Bacteria; Bacillati; Bacillota; Bacilli; Lactobacillales; Lactobacillaceae.
CAGGAUGAACGCUGGCGGCGUGCCUAAUACAUGCAAGUCGAACGAGUUCUGAUUAUUGAAAGGUGCUUGCAUCUUGAUUUAAUUUUGAACGAGUGGCGGACGGGUGAGUAACACGUGGGUAACCUGCCCUUAAGUGGGGGAUAACAUUUGGAAACAGAUGCUAAUACCGCAUAAAUCCAAGAACCGCAUGGUUCUUGGCUGAAAGAUGGCGUAAGCUAUCGCUUUUGGAUGGACCCGCGGCGUAUUAGCUAGUUGGUGAGGUAACGGCUCACCAAGGCAAUGAUACGUAGCCGAACUGAGAGGUUGAUCGGCCACAUUGGGACUGAGACACGGCCCAAACUCCUACGGGAGGCAGCAGUAGGGAAUCUUCCACAAUGGACGCAAGUCUGAUGGAGCAACGCCGCGUGAGUGAAGAAGGCUUUCGGGUCGUAAAACUCUGUUGUUGGAGAAGAAUGGUCGGCAGAGUAACUGUUGUCGGCGUGACGGUAUCCAACCAGAAAGCCACGGCUAACUACGUGCCAGCAGCCGCGGUAAUACGUAGGUGGCAAGCGUUAUCCGGAUUUAUUGGGCGUAAAGCGAGCGCAGGCGGUUUUUUAAGUCUGAUGUGAAAGCCCUCGGCUUAACCGAGGAAGUGCAUCGGAAACUGGGAAACUUGAGUGCAGAAGAGGACAGUGGAACUCCAUGUGUAGCGGUGAAAUGCGUAGAUAUAUGGAAGAACACCAGUGGCGAAGGCGGCUGUCUGGUCUGUAACUGACGCUGAGGCUCGAAAGCAUGGGUAGCGAACAGGAUUAGAUACCCUGGUAGUCCAUGCCGUAAACGAUGAAUGCUAGGUGUUGGAGGGUUUCCGCCCUUCAGUGCCGCAGCUAACGCAUUAAGCAUUCCGCCUGGGGAGUACGACCGCAAGGUUGAAACUCAAAGGAAUUGACGGGGGCCCGCACAAGCGGUGGAGCAUGUGGUUUAAUUCGAAGCAACGCGAAGAACCUUACCAGGUCUUGACAUCUUUUGAUCACCUGAGAGAUCAGGUUUCCCCUUCGGGGGCAAAAUGACAGGUGGUGCAUGGUUGUCGUCAGCUCGUGUCGUGAGAUGUUGGGUUAAGUCCCGCAACGAGCGCAACCCUUAUGACUAGUUGCCAGCAUUUAGUUGGGCACUCUAGUAAGACUGCCGGUGACAAACCGGAGGAAGGUGGGGAUGACGUCAAAUCAUCAUGCCCCUUAUGACCUGGGCUACACACGUGCUACAAUGGAUGGUACAACGAGUUGCGAGACCGCGAGGUCAAGCUAAUCUCUUAAAGCCAUUCUCAGUUCGGACUGUAGGCUGCAACUCGCCUACACGAAGUCGGAAUCGCUAGUAAUCGCGGAUCAGCACGCCGCGGUGAAUACGUUCCCGGGCCUUGUACACACCGCCCGUCACACCAUGAGAGUUUGUAACACCCGAAGCCGGUGGCGUAACCCUUUUAGGGAGCGAGCCGUCUAAGGUGGGACAAAUGAUUAGGGUGAAGUCGU